Long non-coding RNA from Musa acuminata AAA Group (dessert banana), 1757 nucleotides. RefSeq lists it as uncharacterized. The transcript has 3 exons. The record is from RefSeq and is a predicted model, not a curated record. Lineage: Eukaryota; Viridiplantae; Streptophyta; Magnoliopsida; Zingiberales; Musaceae.
UAUAUUACAAAAAUUCUCUCCUAGGAUGAGAAUCAUGGAUAUAUGUGUAGCAUGUAUUUUCAACCACAUAACUUAGCUCUAGAGGGCACAACAAUGGGAAGUGCCUUAAUACCCUAGAGGCUGAGGAGAGAAAGUAGGAAUCCCCUUGAGGAGGGGUUUGCGUCUCUCUGGCUAGUUGGUGAGACAAUAGCUUACCUUUGAUCAAAUUAUACUUCUUCAAUUUUAACUUUUUUAAGUUAACUUAGAGAAAAUUCUGAUCCUACUUCUAGAGGUUAAAUAUUUUUAGAUUGAAUUACUUACUGGGUUCUUUACAGAACAUGUUGAGCUUCUUCUUCUUUAGUUGGUCUAUAAUGAAAUGAAACCAGUGUUAAGAAAAAGAUUCAAGGUGCCAAAUAGAAAGUAAAUUAUAACCUGUCAUAUGUACAAUAUGCAGUAAACUGGAGUGACAGACUGAAUCAUGAAGGAAUCAGACAAAUCUUAUUGUAAUAAUUAGGUUGUUUAAAUAUUGUCAAUGCGACCCCAUGUCUUCUUUGAUUGAUUGUUAUGUCCGGGUCAAGAAGAGAUAAGAAAUUUGCUUAUACCAGUUUAUGAAUCUAAAAUUUGCAUCUUAAUGCUUAGAAAUCUUAGAUAUUAGGGCAGUAAAUAUUAAGUCUUGUACAUUUAGUGACUUCACUAUCGUUAUCUGUCCCGCAGAUAUAUCGGAAAGAAGAGAACUGUUGAGGUCGGUCGACUGUUGAAGCUCUCUUAGAUAUCGGUCGAACGAAUUGUUCUCGAAUUCUGCUGUCUCAAAUUCGUGAAUGCUGGCUUGGGAGUCACCGAAAGCUAUGGAGCUUCCAUAUCAGUCCAUGAUCAACCCACCCCUCACCAGUGAGACAUCACAGCCACCAUGGUAACACAUCUUCCCUUCUCUUCUGUUCUUCAUCUUCUUUAUUCUGCAUAAUGCUGGUCAUUGAAUAGGCAUGCAACCUCAACCAUAAUUCUGUAGGAUCGAUGGGUGCCACUCCAUCGAUUGCAUUAUUUGUGAGCUGUUCAUCUAUCUAUUCUUCCCAUGUACUAUUCUUCAACCUGGAGUCAAAAAGAGGUUUCAGAGAACCCUCAUGUCCCUGUCUUGCUGGACUUAGAAAACCUCGUCUACCAGUCUUUGACAUUUUGUAAGGCCAGCAGCCUCACUUCCACAUGGUAGCACAUGUGUUAGGCCUUGACAUUAAAUUAGACAUGUCCGGAGGAAAUCCCAUCACAGGGCUCCACAAGUAUGUCAUCCCACAACCGGAUUGGACCGGCCGGUUCAGUAGUGAAUCAUUGAAUCGAUCCCACAAGCGGAUCGUUGUCCGGUCUGAUUUCGAUGACAGAAACGACGACCUUGGCGUCGGCUUUGCCCGACGCGUCGGUGCUGUGACAACUAAUUAGCUUGGAAAAGUUGAAUACGUCGAUGGGACUUCCACCCACCUCUCUCCACACUUACUUAUUCAUGCUGCAGAUGACCGGAGUGGAACGGCUGACAUAAUUUGUUGACUGGAAAUUGGUGGUCUGAACCCUGCAGAACACUGUGUGUCUUUCCUGAUCACUUAGUCUGAUGUCGACUUUGGCACUUAGGCACUUGGAAAUAUAUGUACUUCCAUCAUGGACCUCACCUCUCCUGUAUGACAUUAGCAAUGGCAAUCUGCCUAACUCACACGACCCAAUUCGAUCAUCGAUCAGGCUGGGAAUGAAUGUAUGCGGAAAAAUCUUUCCAAGUUUCCUGUCAAGUGAUGUUAGAG